Molecule: transfer RNA, 73 nt
Filed under: Thermodesulfobacterium geofontis
Lineage: Bacteria; Pseudomonadati; Thermodesulfobacteriota; Thermodesulfobacteria; Thermodesulfobacteriales; Thermodesulfobacteriaceae
Description: tRNA-Arg
Rfam family: tRNA
About the family: Transfer RNA (tRNA) molecules are approximately 80 nucleotides in length.
Source: RNAcentral
GAGCCUGUAGCUCAGGGGACAGAGCGUGGGGCUCCGGACCCUAAGGUCGGGGGUUCAAAUCCCCCCAGGCUCA